AGGAGAUUAAAUAGUGAACUUAGGAAAUAUUGUAUACAAGCAUAAAAUGUUCUUGCUUUCAGUAUACAAAUCCAACAAUAUAUACAACAAACUACAACACAUUAAUUGCUAUCGGCUCCACGUAAACCAUCUUUCAAAGAGGAACAAUAAAAAAACACUUCUUCAGGUUAUAGUUACCAACCAAAGAAAUACCCGUUUCGUUACAACUUUUUAUAUCCAUCAUAGCCCAGCCGACUGCUCCGCAAUGCACCUUCGGAAGCUCGCUGAACAAGAAAAAAUGAAAAACAAACUACAAGGUUUAGCGUGAAGUACAACGUCGGAUUACAAAAAAAAAAUCUUCAAAGGUUAUGAAAGGUAAAGCCUUAACC
RNAcentral lists this long non-coding RNA (368 nucleotides) under Salvia miltiorrhiza (redroot sage). RNAcentral's name for it is "long non-coding RNA (SMIL_LNC003525)". Lineage: Eukaryota; Viridiplantae; Streptophyta; Magnoliopsida; Lamiales; Lamiaceae. The record is from RNAcentral.